AGUGAACGCUGGCGGUAGGCCUAACACAUGCAAGUCGAACGGCAGCACAGGAGAGCUUGCUCUCUGGGUGGCGAGUGGCGGACGGGUGAGGAAUACAUCGGAAUCUACUCUGUCGUGGGGGAUAACGUAGGGAAACUUACGCUAAUACCGCAUACGACCUACGGGUGAAAGCAGGGGAUCUUCGGACCUUGCGCGAUUGAAUGAGCCGAUGUCGGAUUAGCUAGUUGGCGGGGUAAAGGCCCACCAAGGCGACGAUCCGUAGCUGGUCUGAGAGGCUGAUCAUCCACACUGGAACUGAGACACAGUCCAGACUACUACGGGAGGCAGCAGUGUAGUAUAUUGGACAAUGGGCGCAAGCCGGAUCCAGCCAUACCGCGUGGGUGAAGAAGGCCUUCGGGUUGUAAAGCCCUUUUGUUGGGAAAGAAAUCCAGCUGGCUAAUACCCGGUUGGGAUGACGGUACCCAAAGAAUAAGCACCGGCUAACUUCGUGCCAGCCGCCGCCGUAA
This 506-nucleotide ribosomal RNA is filed under the name uncultured bacterium. RNAcentral describes it as "partial 16S ribosomal RNA". It matches the Rfam family "Bacterial small subunit ribosomal RNA", at positions 29 to 523 of the family's 1533-position model. The record is from RNAcentral.